This 113-nucleotide non-coding RNA is filed under the name Polytomella parva. The record is from RNAcentral. Lineage: Eukaryota; Viridiplantae; Chlorophyta; Chlorophyceae; Chlamydomonadales; Chlamydomonadaceae.
UUUUUCAUCUUUUAUGACUACAAUUGCUUUUAUAUCAAUUGUUGAGAUAAAAUUCCGGUUAUUUUAAUGUUAUUUUAAUGACACAAUUAUUUUACCGUUUUUGCUUACUUUCG